This 606-nucleotide long non-coding RNA is filed under the name Physcomitrium patens. RNAcentral's name for it is "long non-coding RNA (PPAT_LNC005681)". Lineage: Eukaryota; Viridiplantae; Streptophyta; Bryopsida; Funariales; Funariaceae. The record is from RNAcentral.
UAACUGACUUGACUUCUAAUAUUUAUGCAAAAUUUGAAAGUAAGUUAAAAUUUUAAUUAGGAACUAUUGUUGAUGGAAGAUUAAUAUUAAGGUCAAAGAUGGACUCUAGUUGACACACAUAUAGAUUAUGAUGUUUUUCUCCCAUUUCAUAAGUUCAACUCUUUUUAAUUUUGUUGUACUUAUUGUUAAGUAAAAGAUAGAGAGAUCUAUAAAAUUUUAAGUAAGAUCAAUGGUUUAGACAAUAGAAAUUGAGGUUCUAAAACUACUAUGGGAUUAGUUUGAACUAGUUAGAUUUUGGUUAGAAUUUAAAGGUGGAUUAGGAUUUGAUUUAGGAUUUAGAAUUUGAUUAUAAUUUGAUUUAAAUUUAAGUUUUGAUUAGAAUUGAUUUAGAAUUUAAAGUCUGAUUAGGAUUGGUUUAGGAUAUAGAAUUUCUUUAGGAUUUUUUAAAAAUUUCUUUAAGAUUCUUGUGAAUGUUUUUUAGAUUAUUUUAGGAAUUCUUCAAGAUUUUUUUAAAGGUUGUUUUUUAUUUUUCUUUUGGAUUUCUUAUGAAUUAAUAUGGAAUUUUUUAAAUAUUUUUUAUGGAUUUUUUAAGGAUUUCUUUAAGUU